GAGGAAGCCGGUGAGACUCCGGCGCGGUCCCGCCACUGUGAGCGAGCCGGGCGCAGCCCGAGCGCGUGAGCCAGGAACUC
This 80-nucleotide non-coding RNA is filed under the name Arsenicicoccus sp. The record is from RNAcentral. Lineage: Bacteria; Bacillati; Actinomycetota; Actinomycetes; Micrococcales; Intrasporangiaceae.